UGGGGAAUCUUGCGCAAUGGGCGAAAGCCUGACGCAGCGACGCCGCGUGAGUGAUGAAGGCCUUCGGGUUGUAAAGCUCUGUGGGGAGAGAAGAAUAAGUGCGGGCUAAUACCCCGCAUGAUGACGGUAUCUCCUUAGCAAGCACCGGCUAACUCUGUGCCAGCAGCCGCGGUAAGACAGAGGGUGCAAACGUUGUUCGGAAUUACUGGGCGUAAAGCGAGUGUAGGCGGUUUGGUAAGUCGGAUGUGAAAGCCCCGGGCUCAACCCGGGAAGUGCAUUCGAUACUGCCAAGCUAGAGUAUCGGAGAGGUUGGUGGAAUUCUCGGUGUAGAGGUGAAAUUCGUAGAUAUCGAGAGGAACACCGGUGGCGAAGGCGGCCAACUGGACGAAUACUGACGCUGAGACUCGAAAGCGUGGGGAGCAAACAGGAUUAGAUACCCCGGUAGUCCCUGAGCGGGCUGGCAAGGCGCAU
This 471-nucleotide ribosomal RNA is filed under the name uncultured bacterium. Its description in RNAcentral is "bacterial SSU rRNA". It matches the Rfam family "Bacterial small subunit ribosomal RNA", at positions 355 to 825 of the family's 1533-position model. The record is from RNAcentral.